Danio rerio (zebrafish) is the source of this 3057-nucleotide non-coding RNA. The record is from Ensembl. Lineage: Eukaryota; Metazoa; Chordata; Actinopteri; Cypriniformes; Danionidae.
AACUUCAUUGCACAGGGUGUAAUUUAACGGCAAUUGUCGCCCUUGAUGAAGACGAACUGACGUAAUCAAGGCAGUUUCUUGUUGUCGAGCCAGGAAGCCAAUCCCAACAACAUGAAACUACCUAAACCACGCACCAGCCGCGCGUAACGGCGUUAUCCACAGGAGAAGACAAACAGCAAACUGCACAGACAAUCUGUCUCUGAUCCAUGUCGUCUUCCUGCGUAUUCCCUCCCUUGUCUUCUGGGUGCUGCCUUGCUUUGCUGCUUUUGACACAUGAAUCUGACGCUAGUGCCUCAACAGGCGUGGAUAUUCUGGGUAUUGGAUUAAAGUCCGAGCCGAACUCAUCUCCGUGGUGGCCCCUUUCACUGGCGUACACCUGGCUCCGUCGGAAAUAAUCGGGGGUGGAGACAGCGCUUUGAUUCGGGUGGCUGUUAUUGUCUCCCAGACGGAUGUAGGUGGAUUUCUCGCCGGACUCCUUGGCGCUGUCGAUAUCAGGCUGAUAAAGACAAGGAAUCGCUUCCUCUUUUACAUUGCUGGCUGGAAAAGAGCAUGGGUGCAAAGGUUGGGCAACAGGUUGCGAGCCUCUGUAAGUUUUAGAGCCUGCGAUCCAAGUGUCCCGCUGCGACAGGUAAUGUGAGUGCUGGUAGCUGCCGAGAUGCAUCCCACUCGGUUGCAGGUCAUCCCGUUUGGAGAGAGGGGUGCCAACAAUGCCAAAACUACCCAUCAUGGAGCAACCAUAUUCUGCAGACGUUUGCAUAUACAUUCCAGAGUUAGAGGAAUAGCUCUCACCUCUGAAAGGAGAUGUUCCUCCCACCAGCGAGUCCAUCAGGAAUGCGUUGGCUGCCACGUUGUUCGGGCAUGACAUUUUGCUACUUGUCUUGCUUUUCUUUUGAUUCAAAACAAUCUCCUUUAUGCCGAAGAGGAUAAGGACAGUAGGACGCUGACAUCUUUUGGGGGGGCGAAAAAUAUCAGCAACAUAAUUAUGGAUUCAAGGCGUUUUGUCAUGUGAUUUUCAGACCAAUAAGGUUUUGAAAGUGGCCUUGAUGCGCCAGACCGUCUUGACGUCACUGGGGUCAAGUUGUUGAAUUUAUGUGGUGCAGCAUGGAGCAAUGGCGCCAUCUAGCCGUGUAUUGAGAACAAGGAAGCCAACAGCAGAACAAAGAACAGUCGCAUGCUUCAGAUAUACUGUUACGUGGCUUAUGUGUCUGCAAAAGAAAAGAGGCAAGUAAACUAAACUAAACACUUUACGGAAGUCAAAGGCUAAUUUUACAAGCUUAGUCAAUAUAAAUUAUGGCUAAUUCUACACGUUUUUGCGACAGUAAAUGUAGCCUUUGUUUUUAAAAGUGCUCAUGCAAUUUUAUUGAAGUAGGUAUGCGUAUAUUUGUCUGUCACGACACACAAUACUACGUAUUAAUUGUUUUUUUUUUUGUCGCAUGAUUGCAACUUAAAUUAUGUGGAUUGUGUAUGUUAGAUCUGUUAAAUAUUUUUUUCAUGAAUUGUUAUUUUCAUUCGUUUUGUAAAAUGGCACCUAUUGUUUUUUCAUUGUGAAUUUCUGGCUUAGGAAAUUCACAUCUUUUAUGGUAAAAUUAAUAUGAAAUACACAAGAGAAACUAUGGUCUUAUUUAGUAUCUCCAAGCUGAAACAAUUGCUUUAGUUUUUCCCCUCAUUUUAAUUUUAUUUAUUUUUUGACUUAGGAAAGUGGCAUUGUGUUUUAAAAUUAAUAUGAAAUAAACGUGGAAUUAGAUCUUUUUUAGGGUCUAAACAUUUAAAUUAUUUUUAGUCGUAUUGUAUAUUUUUGGUGUACAAGAAACGCAUUUACUUGUUCAUUAUCUAUUUGGAAAAAAUGGCUUAAAACGGCUUAAACGUCGACUGCAGAAAACUUAAAAUUACCCGGAAUGAAUAAAAUGCAAUACAUUAUACGGUCAAUUCAUUCCUAUUGUUACUGGCCAGAAUUUUAGCAAAUGUGUUUAUUUUAACUCAUAUAAGUUAUGGCAUAUGCAUAAUAUAUAAAGUGUAACAUGUAAAGCCUGAUUUUUUUUUUAUCAGACCGAUCUUUUUUAUUAUUAUUUCUUCCAGAUUACCUCUUACAACUUGAAAUAUGAUUUACAAAUUUAGCCCAAUUCAGUACAUUCAAAACAGCGAAAAGGUAAUAUGGCACAGGCUAAAACAAAUUCACUAUGCCGUUUAAAAUGAAAAGAGAAUCUUUUAAUCCGAUCAAGCUGGCGCAUGUGUGAGUAAUUUUUGACUUUGCAUACUAUAAUUUAUGUAAAUAAAAAGAAAACUGCAUGAAAACUUGGACUUGAAUGGUCUUUUUCUGUGUUUGCUAUCCAAUACAUUUCUCACCGAGGUCAGUGUCUGUGACCCAGCUGAAAACAUGGGGGAUGUGAUUGGUCUGUUCACUUGUCUGUCAGUCAGCCUUUUAAGACAAACAAAUGCACUCUCUAGUCAGAAAUUAAAUGUUUAUCGGUACAUUGCCAGCUCUGAUCUGUUUUGCAUAAGUUUUAUUGUAUGUUUUAUUAAUAAUAGAAAAUUCUGUGAAAUGUAAAUGCAUACGCACAUAUAUUUACAUACACAAAUAUAUGUACGUGUGUGUACAGGAGUUAAAGGCAAAUCUACGUGUUUGUGUGUAUACACGUGCUAGCGUGUAUGGUUCUUUGUUUUACCUUGAUUUAUUUUAUUUUUUUGUAACGAAAAACUACAUAAUUGCAUACAAUUUGUGUUUUUAAGUCUCUUAAUAUUUCCCAACAUUCGCAAAGGAAACCUGGUGAUGAACACACAUAGUCCAAUAGAUGUAUUUCUAUAUUUAAAUUAUUGAUUAGUAUAACAUAUAAGGUUUCUUCAAUCAACGAAGAAGAGUCCAGUGGUUUAAUGUAUCAAAAUUUCUACAUUUUAUGUAUUAUAAAUGUAUUUAUUUUAUGUAUUAUUUUAUGUUUGUAUUGUGUUUUUGUUGCAGCGAAAAUAUAUUCUUGAACAAAGUGUUGCAGUUGUUUUUAAGAAAAGUGCAUUUACCUAAAUAUUUAUCUUAUUGUCUCAAUGUAAUAAAAAUACAUCGGAUAA